This 594-nucleotide ribosomal RNA is filed under the name Pseudoveronaea obclavata. RNAcentral's name for it is "eukaryotic LSU rRNA". It matches the Rfam family "Eukaryotic large subunit ribosomal RNA", at positions 41 to 664 of the family's 3401-position model. The record is from RNAcentral. Lineage: Eukaryota; Fungi; Ascomycota; Dothideomycetes; Mycosphaerellales; Dissoconiaceae.
UAUCAAUAAGCGGAGGAAAAGAAACCAACAGGGAUUGCCCUAGUAACGGCGAGUGAAGCGGCAACAGCUCAAAUUUGAAACCUGGCGCAAGCCCGGAUUGUAAUUUGUAGAGGAUGCUUCUGGGUAGCGGCCGGUCUAAGUUCCUUGGAACAGGACGUCACAGAGGGUGAGAAUCCCGUACGUGACCGGCCCGCGCCCUCUACGUAGCUCCUUCGACGAGUCGAGUUGUUUGGGAAUGCAGCUCUAAAUGGGAGGUAAAUUUCUUCUAAAGCUAAAUACCGGCCAGAGACCGAUAGCGCACAAGUAGAGUGAUCGAAAGAUGAAAAGCACUUUGGAAAGAGAGUUAAAAAGCACGUGAAAUUGUUGAAAGGGAAGCGCUUGCAACCAGACUUGUCGGCGGUGUUCCGCCGGGCUUCUGCCCGGUCUACUCACCGCCAGCAGGCCAUCAUCGUCUAGGGCCGCCGGAGAAACCGUAAGGAAUGUGGCUCCCUCGGGAGUGUUAUAGCCUCGCGUGAUGCGGUGCGCCCUGGGCGAGGUCCGCGCUUUGCAAGGAUGAUGGCGUAAUGGUUGUCAGCGGCCCGUCUUGAAACACGG